CCGGGCUUUGAAGGAAAACCGAGAUCGUCUCAAAUUGUACGGUGCCUGUGUGUUGGGUGCCUCCAUCAAUGUAAGAUUAUCCAAUGUGGCCUCAGUAUUGUAUGUAUUAUUGAAAGUGGAAUAUGUUAUUAAAUGAGAUUCUCUUUCAGAUUAUUGUUGCUAUAAUGGAAGUAUGAUUGUGGAUAUUAAAAUGUGUCUUUUUCAGAUUAUCCAGUGUGGCCACAGUAUUGUAUGUAUUACUGAAUGCGAAUGUAGUUUCAUAUAAUAAUAAGUCAUCUUUCAUGUCGUUGAUACGAGGCUCCGUAAGUGAACAAUUGGUAAGCAAUGUGUUGAAUGUUGAUUUUAUGUUUUCUUUCAGAAUCUGAGGAGUGGAUAUAUCAAUAGUGAAUAAAUUAUGUAUAUUAUUUACAUGUACUGUCGUGCGUUUUGCUUCUUCUGUUUCAGGUGGUGAAGGUUUUUCGGCUGGGUUUUUCUCCUUCACCUGAUUGGCAUCACAAUUGGCAACACUAUUGGCAUUACAAUUAACACAAUUCCCCGCACUAUUGGCUUUAAUAAAUAUAUUUUCACUUGUA
Ornithodoros turicata is the source of this 572-nucleotide long non-coding RNA. RefSeq lists it as uncharacterized. NCBI's taxonomy places the organism in Eukaryota, Metazoa, Arthropoda, Arachnida, Ixodida, Argasidae. The record is from RefSeq and is a predicted model, not a curated record. The transcript has 2 exons.